CCCGCCACUAUAGCAGUCUGAUAUAUGACUGUGUAUAAUCCAGUGGUGCGCUAAGAACAAAACCCUUCUUAGGAAACAGGUUCAUUCUGUGUGUGAGUGAUUCUGUGCCGAAAGAUAGGGAACACAU
Molecule: non-coding RNA, 127 nt
Organism: Pelobates cultripes (western spadefoot toad)
Lineage: Eukaryota; Metazoa; Chordata; Amphibia; Anura; Pelobatidae
Source: the annotation of a GenBank genome assembly